GACGAACGCUGGCGGCGUGCUUAACACAUGCAAGUCGAACGGAAAGGCCCGGCUUUUGUGGGGUGCUCGAGUGGCGAACGGGUGAGUAACACGUGAGUAAACUGCCCUUGACUUUGGGAUAACUUCAGGAAACUGGGGCUAAUACAGGGGAGGAGCUCCUGCUGCGUGGGGGGGGUUGGAAAGUGUCGGCGGUUGGGGAUGGACUCGCGGGUUAUCAGCUGGAUGGUGGGGUAGUUGCUUACCAAGGCUUUGACGGGUAGCCGGCCUGAGAGGGUGACCGGCCACAUGGGGCCUGAGAUACGGCCCAGACUCCUACGGGAGGCAGCAGGGGGGAAUAUGGCACAAUGGGCGGAAGUCUGAUGUAGCAACGUCGCGUGCGGGAUGCCCUCCUUCUUGUUGUAAACCGCUGUCGCCUGUGACGAAGCGUGCGUGACGGUACUGGGUCAAGAAGCACCGGCUAACUACGUG
This 468-nucleotide ribosomal RNA is filed under the name uncultured bacterium. RNAcentral describes it as "partial 16S ribosomal RNA". It matches the Rfam family "Bacterial small subunit ribosomal RNA", at positions 28 to 507 of the family's 1533-position model. The record is from RNAcentral.